UACGGGGGGGGCAAGCGUUGUUCGGAAUUACUGGGCGUAAAGGGCUCGUAGGUGGCCAACUAAGUCGGACGUGAAAUCCCUCGGCUUAACCGGGGAACUGCGUCCGAUACUGGUUGGCUUGAGUUUGGGAGAGGGAUGCGGAAUUCCAGGUGUAGCGGUGAAAUGCGUAGAUAUCGGGAGGAACACCAGUGGCGAAGGCGACUACCUGGCCCAUUCUUGACGCUGAGGCGCGAAAGCUAGGGGAGCGAACGGG
RNAcentral lists this ribosomal RNA (253 nucleotides) under uncultured bacterium. Its description in RNAcentral is "partial 16S ribosomal RNA". It matches the Rfam family "Bacterial small subunit ribosomal RNA", at positions 524 to 776 of the family's 1533-position model. The record is from RNAcentral.